ACACCGGCAGCUCUAGUGGUAGCAAUUUUUAUUGGGCCUAAAGCGUCCGUAGCCGGUUUAAUAAGUCUCUGGUGAAAUCCUGCAGCUUAACUGUGGGAAUUGCUGGAGAUACUAUUAGACUUGAGAUCGGGAGAGGUUAGAGGUACUCCCAGGGUAGAGGUGAAAUUCUGUAAUCCUGGGAGGACCGCCUGUUGCGAAGGCGUCUAACUGGAACGAUUCUGACGGUGAGGGUCGAAAGUUAGGGGCGCGAACCGGAUUAGAUACCCGGGUAGUCCUAACUGUAAACGAUGCGGACUUGGUGUUGGGGUGGCUUUGAGCUGCUCCAGUGCCGAAGGGAAGCUGUUAAGUCCGCCGCCUGGGAAGUACGGUCGCAAGACUGAAACUUAAAGGAAUUGACGGGG
Molecule: ribosomal RNA, 401 nt
Filed under: uncultured bacterium
Lineage: Bacteria
Description: partial 16S ribosomal RNA
Rfam family: Archaeal small subunit ribosomal RNA
Source: RNAcentral